This 77-nucleotide transfer RNA is filed under the name Alphaproteobacteria bacterium. RNAcentral's name for it is "tRNA-Arg". It matches the Rfam family "tRNA". Rfam says of the family: Transfer RNA (tRNA) molecules are approximately 80 nucleotides in length. Their secondary structure includes four short double-helical elements and three loops (D, anti-codon, and T loops). Lineage: Bacteria; Pseudomonadati; Pseudomonadota; Alphaproteobacteria. The record is from RNAcentral. RNAcentral also lists the same sequence under 1 other name.
GCACUCGUAGCUCAGCUGGAUAGAGCGUCUGACUACGGAUCAGAAGGCCGAGGGUUCGAAUCCUUCCGAGUGCACCA